This 515-nucleotide ribosomal RNA is filed under the name uncultured bacterium. RNAcentral's name for it is "partial 16S ribosomal RNA". It matches the Rfam family "Bacterial small subunit ribosomal RNA", at positions 28 to 523 of the family's 1533-position model. The record is from RNAcentral.
GAUGAACGCUGGCGGCGUGCCUAAUACAUGCAAGUCGAGCGAAUGGAUUAAGAGCUUGCUCUUAUGAAGUUAGCGGCGGACGGGUGAGUAACACGUGGGUAACUUGCCCAUAAGACUGGGAUAACUCCGGGAAACCGGGGCUAAUACCGGAUAACAUUUUGAACCGCAUGGUUCGAAAUUGAAAGGCGGCUUCGGCUGUCACUUAUGGAUGGACCCGCGUCGCAUUAGCUAGUUGGUGAGGUAACGGCUCACCAAGGCAACGAUGCGUAGCCGACCUGAGAGGGUGAUCGGCAACACUGGGACUGAGACACGGCCCAGACUCCUACGGGAGGCAGCAGUAGGGAAUCUUCCGCAAUGGACGAAAGUCUGACGGAGCAACGCCGCGUGAGUGAUGAAGGCUUUCGGGUCGUAAAACUCUGUUGUUAGGGAAGAACAAGUGCUAGUUGAAUAAGCUGGCACCUUGACGGUACCUAACCAGAAAGCCACGGCUAACUACGUGCCAGCAGCCGCUGUAA